UGGGGAAUAUUGCACAAUGGGCGCAAGCCUGAUGCAGCCAUGCCGCGUGUAUGAAGAAGGCCUUCGGGUUGUAAAGUACUUUCAGUCGGGAGGAAGGUGUCAAGGUUAAUAACCUUGGCAAUUGACGUUACCGACAGAAGAAGCACCGGCUAACUCCGUGCCAGCAGCCGCGGUAAUACGUAGGUGGCAAGCGUUGUCCGGAUUUAUUGGGCGUAAAGCGAGCGCAGGCGGUUUCUUAAGUCUGAUGUGAAAGCCCCCGGCUCAACCGGGGAGGGUAAUUGGAAACUGGGAGACUUGAGUGCAGAAGAGGAGAGUGGAAUUCCAUGUGUAGCGGUGAAAUGCGUAGAUAUAUGGAGGAACACAAGGGGCGAAGGCGGCUCUCUGGUCUGUAACUGACGCUGAGGCUCGAAAGCGUGGGGAGCAAACAGG
RNAcentral lists this ribosomal RNA (429 nucleotides) under Chloroflexota bacterium. Its description in RNAcentral is "Chloroflexi bacterium partial 16S ribosomal RNA". It matches the Rfam family "Bacterial small subunit ribosomal RNA", at positions 355 to 776 of the family's 1533-position model. The record is from RNAcentral. Lineage: Bacteria; Bacillati; Chloroflexota.